RNAcentral lists this ribosomal RNA (254 nucleotides) under uncultured bacterium. RNAcentral describes it as "partial 16S ribosomal RNA". It matches the Rfam family "Bacterial small subunit ribosomal RNA", at positions 524 to 776 of the family's 1533-position model. The record is from RNAcentral.
GACGUAGGGCGCGAGCGUUGUCCGGAUUUAUUGGGCGUAAAGAGCUCGUAGGCGGCUUGUCGCGUCGACUGUGAAAACCCGUGGCUCAACCAUGUGGUCUGCAGUCGAUACGGGCAGGCUAGAAUUCGGUAGGGGAGACUGGAAUUCCUGGUGUAGCGGUGAAAUGCGCAGAUAUCAGGAGGAACACCGGUGGCGAAGGCGGGUCUCUGGGCCGAUAUUGACGCUGAGGAGCGGAAGCGUGGGGAGCGAACAGG